UACUCUCACACUCUCUGAUCCUUUGGAUUUGGGGAGCGGUGGACUUGGGUGCUUGCUGCUUCCUUGUGGCUCACCUGAAAUGCAUCAGUGCAUCUCUUGAUUGGACAUAGUACGGCGUGAUAAGUGUCUUCGCCGGCACCUCAUAAGAGGGUGGCUGAUCGGGAGCUCUGUGCUUUCAAACCGUCUUCGGACAACCCUUGACA
Molecule: unclassified non-coding RNA, 203 nt
Filed under: uncultured Sebacina
Lineage: Eukaryota; Fungi; Basidiomycota; Agaricomycetes; Sebacinales; Sebacinaceae
Description: sequence contains ITS2
Source: RNAcentral